Papaver somniferum (opium poppy) is the source of this 2686-nucleotide RNA transcript. RefSeq lists it as uncharacterized. The record is from RefSeq and is a predicted model, not a curated record. The transcript is spliced from 7 exons. NCBI's taxonomy places the organism in Eukaryota, Viridiplantae, Streptophyta, Magnoliopsida, Ranunculales, Papaveraceae.
UUGUACUCACAUUAUGAAUCCUAAACCCUGAACUCUAAUUAGCGUAAUGCAUUGGCAUGGAACACAAACAGAGUGCCAGACUCGGGGCCUUUAAGGCUAACAGUCGGCCGGGCACGCUAUUACACAGAUGUGUAACAAGUGUAAUAAUGAUGAUUCACGUUCCAUUUAUUUCUUCUUCCAACGUUUGGGGGGUUUUGAGCAAGAGCAAUAAUAUUGAGAUCAGAUUGAAAUGGGGUUUAGGGUUUUCAGUUCUGUGCAGGAUUGAUACAAGAGUUUACAAGGUUCCAGCAUUCAGGUACUUGUUUCUAGUGGUUGUUUUCAAGUCGAUUUAGGUAUGUUUAGGGUUCGAAGAACAACACAUUUGUAAGUUCUCUCGAUAUCUGCUAAGCCAUUUCUACACUCAAUAGCCAACAAGUGGUGGUGAGUUUGAAAUCAAUAAUAAUCUCAAGAGUGUUGAAGGAGGAUAAACAGAAGCAAUGUCAAUCUGCAAGAUUCCAAGUGAUAUUUGGAAGUCAAUCAUCUCAAGGUUACCAGUAAGAACUGUAUUAGCACGCAAAGAGUUGGAAAAACCUAAUUUCUGAUCCCGAUUUCGUGCAAAUGCAUCUUAAUUUCCAUAAACAAAACUCUAAUUGUCUGAUUGGUGUCGUUCAUCAGCAAGAGAACAAUUUUCAUUUUCAGUCAAUUGGUUAUGACUCGUUAGCAUCAUUAUUACUGCCUGAAAUGUUUAUUGAAGAGAGUGAUAAUGUUGUUGAAGAGGAUGAUUCAUCCUCAAUGUUGAGUGAGGAUUCAGCAUUGAGUGGAACUGAUGGUGACGCAGCUCAAAUGGAUUAUCCAUUUAAGGAUUUAGGAUUUACUGUGGAUUUAUUUGGUUCGUGUAAUGGAAUUGUGUGUCUAUGGUUUCAUGACGACAACCGGGGAGAUCAGGAUGAUUUCUUUUGUCUUUGGAACCCAGCAACGAACGAAUAUAAGAGAAUAUGUGAAGCACCAGAAAGAUAUAGUUAUUGCGGCAUCAAAUUAUAUGCUUUUGUUUAUGAUCCCACGGCUGACGAUUAUAAGUUCAUGAUUGGUGUAUGUGUAUCCUCUGAACAAAAAAGAAGUGAAAUGAGCUCUUUAGUCCAUCUCUAUUCGUUAGCAACAGAUUCAUGGAAGAGCUUUCCAACACCUUGUGUUAUCGCUGCAGCUUAAAAAUCUGGGGUACUUUUUAAUGGAGAUCUUCAUUGGGAUGCCUUCCAUCCCGAUAGAUAGAUAGUCUCUUUUGAUAUUAGGAACGAGGAAUUCAAAGCAAUUCAACCACCAUCAGGACCCUUCCAGCUUCUUCUCGUGGGGGUAUUGGAAGAGCGCCUUUGUGUUCUUGUUGAAGAUGAAAAUUAUGCUAUUGACAUAUGGAAAAUGGAAGUUUAUGGAGAUCCGGGAUCCUGGACUAAAUGUUAUACCAUUACCCAUAAGAUAAUAACCAGUAGAUGUAGUCUUCAUUGCACUUUAAUGAAUUUUAUGUGGUCAUUUGAAAAUGGUGUUAUGCUAUUCAAGGAGUACGGUCGCCUAUGUUUGUAUGACCCAGAGCAUGGGAGUGCUGCUGAAUUUAAUCCGAACUAUAUGUCGGCAGAGAAUUAUUCAGAAAGCUUAGUUUCAUUAAACUCUGGUAUCCAUGUGGGCGGAAGAACGGCAAAUAGUUCAUACACGGAGCUUCAGAUUCUUGAGAAUAAAAACUCAGUUCUUGAAGCACGUAACAUCCAAUUGGUUGCUAGUAAUGCUGAGCUACAGAAAAAGCUUCAUGAGUCUCAAGUAGCAUAUCAACAUCUAGAAGAACGUGUUAAUGCUCAGGUUUGUAUACUGCAGAAACAAGUAGUGGGGAUUGAAAAAGACGAAGAAGAAGAAACUGCUAUGACCAAGAGAAACGGUCGGAAGAGGAAGGUGCAAUGGCAUUAUAAUACAAGGAAGGCCUAAAAACCGGUUGCAGCAAGUCCGCGAGAAAGCACAGUUUUCGAAGAUGAGAGUCUCACCGUGCUGCAAAGAGCUGAGAAAGAGCAAGGUAAACUUGUUCAAUUAUGGGCUGGUGGUAGUCAGGAGCCUUACCAAAUCAAAGACGGAUCUAAGACUCACUCCACUUCCAAGGACUCUUACCAAACGAUGACCGUAAAAAGGCUGCGCGGCCUUCUAAAAGAAAGAGGUUUGAUGGUGAAAGGAAAGAAGGAUGAGCUGAUUGCACGUCUCACAGGCAUUUGAGAACCUUCCAGAACAUAGCUUUUGAAAAUAGAGCACCUUGUGAGAGAGCUAAUUCAAGAUCGGGUCUGUGCCUUAUAUGGCACUUGAGAGAAAAUGCAGGUGCAUUAUGUGGUUCAUCACUUGUAUCUCAAAAUGUGUCCAAUUUGGAGCAUUCUUUUCAACUGAUGAAAACUUUAGUUGUGGAAACAUAUUAUCUGCUACAUUCAAUAUAAGGAAUUAUCCAAAGCUACUGCGCCUCCAAGACGCAUGCCAUUUCAGCUGUACUUUAUUUUUUUUUGCGAUCCCUAGGAAUGUAUUACGGUAUAAAAAAUCGAAUCUAUGAUAUUUUAGAAAGUAGGCUUGUAUUACAAGGGAACUUAGCAAUAAUUCUCGCAAUUCUGCUGAAACAACAAGAUUGGUUUCAGCUCUGAUUUUUUCAAUAUGCAACUCCAUAUUAGACUGAAGCAAGUGGUCAAAAUUUGUA